RNAcentral lists this long non-coding RNA (327 nucleotides) under Capsella rubella. RNAcentral describes it as "long non-coding RNA (CRUB_LNC000873)". Lineage: Eukaryota; Viridiplantae; Streptophyta; Magnoliopsida; Brassicales; Brassicaceae. The record is from RNAcentral.
UUCUUUGCUAAUAGUUUUUUUUUUUAGUUCCUUGCUUCAAAUAUAUAUAUUUGAACAUAAGAAGAUUAACAAAAUAUGAAUAUAAGUUUUAUAUAUCUUGUUUAUUGCUUUCAACAUUUUUACAUUUCUCCUAUGCUGUAUAUAUUGUUCUUUUCUCAUUUAUCAAUAUCUUUAUAUCUAAAAAAUUAGAAUUUAAAAAGGUUAAUUAGUAAGAUGAAAAAAAUAUUACAUAAUUAGAUGUCUAAUUACUAUUGGUCCUUUAAAAUCCUAUGUGGAUCGGAUCCGCGCUACAGUGCGGAAGAAAUUGCCGGGUUUUUUUGGUUUUAA